GUAUGCUUAGGAGCAGAGAGGGAUUGAGUCUCAUCUUCAUUAGGUUUCAUUCAAUUGAUUGUGGAUUGGAUGAUGAAAAAACCAGCAAGCCCCUUUGACUUUAGAUUCUAUUAGUAAAGGGCGCAAUGAAUUGUGAUUGCGAAAACGUUAGAAGAUUUGGCCAAAGAAGGUGAUAACCCUGUAGAUUCAUUCCCAUGGUUCGAUCCUACCUAGUAAACGUGACGUAUUCCAAUCUUGAUCACUUUUUCAGGCGAAAAAGGGGGCCCUCUAAGUCUAAGUAUUCCUCAAUGACCGAUAGCAUACAAGUACCAUGAGGGAAAGUUGAAAUUAACCCUAUUUAGGGAGUGCAAUAGAGAACCUGAGA
RNAcentral lists this non-coding RNA (364 nucleotides) under Cephalotus follicularis. RNAcentral's name for it is "Bacterial large subunit ribosomal RNA". It matches the Rfam family "Bacterial large subunit ribosomal RNA", at positions 206 to 547 of the family's 2925-position model. The record is from Rfam by way of RNAcentral. Lineage: Eukaryota; Viridiplantae; Streptophyta; Magnoliopsida; Oxalidales; Cephalotaceae.